Molecule: long non-coding RNA, 453 nt
Organism: Sardina pilchardus (European sardine)
Lineage: Eukaryota; Metazoa; Chordata; Actinopteri; Clupeiformes; Clupeidae
Exons: 3
Source: RefSeq, a predicted model, not a curated record
GCGAGCUGUGAAGUUGCAAACCGGUCUCCUGGUUUCUUUUAGGUCUAUGGUUGCAACCCAUUAUUACACUAUGUCAUAAUUUGUUUUCCACAAGGAUUUUCUCUACAAAAUAUCACAGCCGAGAACGAGCCUCUUGCAUUAUUUCAGCCAGCGAUGUGAAACAUCGUGUCGUCAUGAUUUGCCACCACAAGUUGACGAUAGUACCAGGAGAGAGUUACAGUUGCACAAACUAAAAGCAGUCGGCUUUUAUCCCCUGCUGCUUGUGGCCAAGAAGAGUAAGGGAGGAUUCAAGGCACAGCUGCUAUACCUUGAUCAGCAGCUGAAUGCAGAUAAAAUGGAAUUUACCACAGCCAGCUGUCUCCAUUGCACCUACUCCCACCCUCAUUACCCUCACCCCCACCCACCCUGCCCACCCUACCUACCCUACCUACCCUCACCCCCACCCACCCUGCC